GAUGAACGCUGGCGGCGUGCCUAAUACAUGCAAGUCGAGCGAACAGAUACGGAGCUUGCUCCUUUGACGUUAGCGGCGGACGGGUGAGUAACACGUGGGUAACCUAUCUAUAAGACUGGAAUAACUCCGGGAAACCGGGGCUAAUGCCGGAUAACAUGUUGAACCGCAUGGUUCUACAGUGAAAGGCGGCUUUGCUGUCACUUAUAGAUGGACCCGGGCCGUAUUAGCUAGUUGGUGCGGUAACGGCUCACCAAGGCUACGAUACGUAGCCGACCUGAGAGGGUGAUCGGCCACACUGGAACUGAGACACGGUCCAGACUCCUACGGGAGGCAGCAGUAGGGAAUCUGCCGCAAUGGGCGAAAGCCUGACGGAGCAACGCCGCGUGAGUGAUGAAGGUCUUCGGAUCGUAAAACUCUGUUAUUAGGGAAGAACAAAUGCGUAAGUAACUGUGCGCGUCUUGACGGUACCUAAUCAGAAAGCCACGGCUAACUACGUG
RNAcentral lists this ribosomal RNA (497 nucleotides) under uncultured bacterium. RNAcentral describes it as "partial 16S ribosomal RNA". It matches the Rfam family "Bacterial small subunit ribosomal RNA", at positions 28 to 507 of the family's 1533-position model. The record is from RNAcentral.